AUAUUCUCAACCAUUGGCUCGGGUUUAUUCCCUUGCUAAUCGUGUUGGAUUUGAGGGUGUUGUGUCGGUCCACUUCAUUUAUUUGAAGACGGUCGACUCCCUUUAAAAGCAUUUGUGGGUCUGACCUUUGUGGAUAUGCCUCGAUUUGAUAAUUAUCAAGAUGUCGUCGCAGUGAAACAAAAGACUUGCUAUCUAACUGUCCCUGACAAGGACUGCUUGAUUCUUCAAGCAAUAAGAGUCGCUGCUUUCGGGCUUGACUUGUAAAAU
RNAcentral lists this unclassified non-coding RNA (267 nucleotides) under uncultured Agaricales. Its description in RNAcentral is "sequence contains ITS2". The record is from RNAcentral. Lineage: Eukaryota; Fungi; Basidiomycota; Agaricomycetes; Agaricales.